Molecule: long non-coding RNA, 1330 nt
Organism: Syngnathoides biaculeatus (alligator pipefish)
Lineage: Eukaryota; Metazoa; Chordata; Actinopteri; Syngnathiformes; Syngnathidae
Exons: 8
Source: RefSeq, a predicted model, not a curated record
CCGAGAAGAAAAAAAGUUAGGGCGCGGACUUCCGCAACUAGCGCUACUAGUAAGAAAGCUAAGCCUCUUUCAUCACAACCAAUGUGUUUGGAGGAAAAACAACAGCAGGAGGAAGAGCACGUCCGCGAAGUCACGCACCCCUGGGGACCCUAAACACUUUGCAAACACCAGUGAGGACGGUCAGACAAAGAGACAAAAGAAGCAGAGAAAGGAUUGCAGGAUCCUGGACCGGGCUGUUGAGGAUAGUCUGGUGGAGUUCUUCUGCGAAAACUAACUGCUGCUUUCUGGAUCUUCCAUAGUGCUUAUCCUCAUGAGGGUCGCAGGAGAGCUGGAGCCUAUCCCAGCUGUCAACGGGCAGGAUCCUGGCAAAGCUACCUUGGCAAAUCCAUCAAAGAAAAGAUAUGUUCAUCUUGAGAGUGCUACCACAAGUGGGUUAUGGUACCCACCCAACUUCCUUGGGGCAGAAUAAGACAGCUAUAGUAAAAGUGACCACUCCAAAUACAUCCUGAAGUGGAGCAUUCGGAAAGAUAUGCCAGUGCUGUAAUUUCCCUGCAAGACGAUCAAAGCAGUGGAACAGGUGGUUCACUGUCACCAUGAAGAACCCCAAGACUUUCAAAACCAAGACAUCUAGCAUCAACCUCGAGCCAUCCACCACCAAACAUGACCCUCUACCAUUCCUCCAAAGAGAGUUGGCCCAUAUAUUCCAAAUGUUGAAAGUUGGAUGGGUAACCCUUAAGGAAAAUAUCAAACAGAUCCUAAAGAGAAUCUGUCUUGAGAAACCACGAGGGGACCCUGAGUUAUGUACAAAGUGCGGCCACGUCAUGCCUGAAAUAUUCGCAUGAAAGAUGCGGUGGCAGUGGCAAGAAACAGAACGGGAGGAACAAGGAUGGACAUUAAAUAUGAGAGACUCAUAGUUAAAGUUCACAAAGUGGAAUAUUACAUUUUAAUUUGUUUGUAACAUAAAUGUUAAACAUGUAUUAUUGUCGGCUAAAUAACUUAAUUGUUUGUAAUUGUCUGUUGUUUGAUUGAAAAACAGUGUGGUUUCACACUGCAUAAUAAAGGUUUCAAUCUGUUUUAAUAGCUCAAUUUCCACGUUAAUGUAGGUUUGCAAAAACACAAAAUUCUUCAUAAAAAUGUUGUGAUGGGAAUUAAAUGCUGUAGCCUGAAUCUUUAAUGAGCCAUGUAGCUUCAAUGGAUGACACUGACCUGACCACAGUGCGUACAUCUGUUGCUCACAGUUGUCAGAGGGAGCGCUCACAGGCUUAGCUCUUUGCUCAGAUAUGAGGUGAGAGUUCUGAUGCAAUUACUUGUAAAAAUGUCCGUAUUAUGU